UACGGGGGGAGCAAGCGUUGUUCGGAUUUACUGGGCGUAAAGGGCGCGUAGGCGGUCGACCAAGUCUGGGGUGAAAUCUUUCGGCUCAACCGGAAAAGUGCCCCCGAUACUGGCCGGCUAGAGGGAGAUAGGGGCAUGUGGAACUUCCGGUGGAGCGGUGAAAUGCGUAGAUAUCGGAAGGAACGCCGGUGGCGAAAGCGACGUGCUGGAUCUCUUCUGACGCUGAGGCGCGAAAGCCAGGGGAGCAAACGGG
Molecule: ribosomal RNA, 253 nt
Filed under: uncultured bacterium
Lineage: Bacteria
Description: partial 16S ribosomal RNA
Rfam family: Bacterial small subunit ribosomal RNA
Source: RNAcentral